RNAcentral lists this ribosomal RNA (330 nucleotides) under uncultured Thalassiosirales. RNAcentral's name for it is "bacterial SSU rRNA". It matches the Rfam family "Bacterial small subunit ribosomal RNA", at positions 1058 to 1395 of the family's 1533-position model. Lineage: Eukaryota; Bacillariophyta; Thalassiosirophyceae; Thalassiosirales. The record is from RNAcentral.
GCUCGUGUCGUGAGAUGUUGGGUUAAGUCCCGCAACGAGCGCAACCCUUGUUUUUAGUUGCCUUUUAAGGAACUCUAGAAAGACUGCCGGUUAUAAACCGGAGGAAGGCGGGGAUGACGUCAAGUCAGCAUGCCCCUUACACCCUGGGCUACACACGUGCUACAUUGGGCGAGACAAUGAGAUGCAAACCUGUGAAGAUUAGCUAAUCUAUAAACUCGUUCUAAGUUCGGAUUGUAGGCUGCAACUCGCCUACAUGAAGGUGGAAUCGCUAGUAAUCGCUGGUCAGCUACACAGCGGUGAAUCCGUUCCCGGGCCUUGUACACACCGCCC